Podarcis lilfordi (Lilford's wall lizard) is the source of this 74-nucleotide non-coding RNA. Lineage: Eukaryota; Metazoa; Chordata; Lepidosauria; Squamata; Lacertidae. The record is from the annotation of a GenBank genome assembly.
GCCUGGAUAGCUCAGUUGGUUUGAGCAUGGUGUUGAUAAUGCCAAGGUUUCAAGUUCGAUCCCUGUAUGGGACA